UGCAAGUCGAGGGGUAAGGUAGCAAUAUCUGAGACCGGCGCACGGGUGCGCAAUGCGUAUGCAAUCUACCUUUUGCAGAGGGAUAGCCCAGAGAAAUUUGGAUUAAUACCUCAUAGUAUAGUACCUUCGCAUGGAGGAACUAUUAAAGUCACAACGGCAAAAGAUGAGCAUGCGUCCCAUUAGUUAGUUGGUAAGGUAACGGCUUACCAAGACAGCGAUGGGUAGGGGUCCUGAGAGGGAGAUCCCCCACACUGGUACUGAGACACGGACCAGACUCCUACGGGAGGCAGCAGUGAGGAAUAUUGGACAAUGGGCGCAAGCCUGAUCCAGCCAUGCCGCGUGCAGGAUGACGGUCCUAUGGAUUGUAAACUGCUUUUGCACAGGAAGAAACACCCCGACGUGUCGGGGCUUGACGGUACUGUGAGAAUAAGGAUCGGCUAACUCCGUGCCAGCAGCCGCGGUAAUACGGAGGAUCCAAGCGUUAUCCGGAAUCAUUGGGUUUAAAGGGUCCGUAGGCGGUUUAGUAAGUCAGUGGUGAAAGCCCAUCGCUCAACGGUGGAACGGCCAUUGAUACUGCUAGACUUGAAUUAUAAGGAAGUAACUAGAAUAUGUAGUGUAGCGGUGAAAUGCUUAGAGAUUACAUGGAAUACCAAUUGCGAAGGCAGGUUACUACUUAUGGAUUGACGCUGAUGGACGAAAGCGUGGGUAGCGAACAGGAUUAGAUACCCUGGUAGUCCACGCCGUAAACGAUGGAUACUAGCUGUUGGGCGCAAGUUCAGUGGCUAAGCGAAAGUGAUAAGUAUCCCACCUGGGGAGUACGUUCGCAAGAAUGAAACUCAAAGGAAUUGACGGGGGCCCGCACAAGCGGUGGAGCAUGUGGUUUAAUUCGAUGAUACGCGAG
RNAcentral lists this ribosomal RNA (901 nucleotides) under uncultured Flavobacteriaceae bacterium. RNAcentral's name for it is "bacterial SSU rRNA". It matches the Rfam family "Bacterial small subunit ribosomal RNA", at positions 56 to 965 of the family's 1533-position model. Lineage: Bacteria; Pseudomonadati; Bacteroidota; Flavobacteriia; Flavobacteriales; Flavobacteriaceae. The record is from RNAcentral.